ACGGGAGGCAGCAGUAGGGAAUCUUCCGCAAUGGACGAAAGUCUGACGGAGCAACGCCGCAUGAGCGAUGAAGGCCUUCGGGUCGUAAAGCUCUGUUGUUAGGGAAGAACAAGUACUGGAGUAACUGCCGGUACCUUGACGGUACCUAACCAGAAAGCCACGGCUAACUACGUGCCAGCAGCCGCGGUAAUACGUAGGUGGCAAGCGUUGUCCGGAAUUAUUGGGCGUAAAGCGCGCGCAGGCGGUCCUUUAAGUCUGAUGUGAAAGCCCACGGCUCAACCGUGGAGGGUCAUUGGAAACUGGGGGACUUGAGUACAGAAGAGGAAAGCGGAAUUCCACGUGUAGCGGUGAAAUGCGUAGAGAUGUGGAGGAACACCAGUGGCGAAGGCGGCUUUCUGGUCUGUAACUGACGCUGAGGCGCGAAAGCGUGGGGAGCAAACAGGAUUAGAUACCCUGGUAGUCCACGCCGUAAACGAUGAGUGCUAAGUGUUAGGGGGUUUCCGCCCCUUAGUGCUGCAGCUAACGCAUUAAGCACUCCGCCUGGGGAGUACGGCCGCAAGGCUGAAACUCAAAGGAAUUGAC
This 582-nucleotide ribosomal RNA is filed under the name uncultured bacterium. RNAcentral describes it as "bacterial SSU rRNA". It matches the Rfam family "Bacterial small subunit ribosomal RNA", at positions 341 to 914 of the family's 1533-position model. The record is from RNAcentral.